GACGAACCGUGCGAACGUUGUUCGGAAUCACUGGGCUUAAAGGGCGCGUAGGCGGGUCAGCAAGUCCGGGGUGAAAUCUUUCAGCUCAACUGGAAAAGUGCCUUGGAUACUGCUGGUCUUGAGGGAGGUAGGGGCGUGCGGAACUUCUGGUGGAGCGGUGAAAUGCGUUGAGAUCAGAAGGAACGCCGGUGGCGAAAGCGGCGCGCUGGACCUCUUCUGACGAUGAGGCGCGAAAGAUAGGGGAGCAAACGGG
RNAcentral lists this ribosomal RNA (253 nucleotides) under uncultured bacterium. RNAcentral describes it as "partial 16S ribosomal RNA". It matches the Rfam family "Bacterial small subunit ribosomal RNA", at positions 524 to 776 of the family's 1533-position model. The record is from RNAcentral.